Molecule: ribosomal RNA, 253 nt
Filed under: uncultured bacterium
Lineage: Bacteria
Description: partial 16S ribosomal RNA
Rfam family: Bacterial small subunit ribosomal RNA
Source: RNAcentral
GACGUAGGGGGCGAGCGUUGUCCGGAUUCAUUGGGCGUAAAGCGCGCGUAGGCGGUUCGGAAAGUCGGAUGUGAAAACCCGGAGCUCAACUCCGGGCCUGCAUCCGAUACUCCCGGACUAGAGGUAGGUAGGGGAGAUCGGAAUUCCUGGUGUAGCGGUGAAAUGCGCAGAUAUCAGGAGGAACACCGGUGGCGAAGGCAGCACUCUGGGACGUGACUGACGCUGAGACGCGAAAGCGUGGGGAGCAAACAGG